CAUGCAUUUCCUCCAUGAUGUGCAACCGAAAGCAAUGGGGCCAACUACUAAUCACAGACUGAAGCCUCUAAAAUUGAAAACAGAAGGAUUGCAGUUCCCUGUCCACUUGGAGUUAGACUUGCCUCUGGGACUUAAUUUGGACAAUGAAAUGUUGGGUUAGGAUGCUGGCUGCCCAGAUUCUAGAGAAGCAACAGAGCAGAGCCUUCAGGGACCCACAGUGGAC
Heterocephalus glaber (naked mole-rat) is the source of this 223-nucleotide long non-coding RNA. RefSeq lists it as uncharacterized. Lineage: Eukaryota; Metazoa; Chordata; Mammalia; Rodentia; Bathyergidae. The record is from RefSeq and is a predicted model, not a curated record.